Molecule: non-coding RNA, 331 nt
Filed under: Cicer arietinum (chickpea)
Lineage: Eukaryota; Viridiplantae; Streptophyta; Magnoliopsida; Fabales; Fabaceae
Description: Bacterial large subunit ribosomal RNA
Rfam family: Bacterial large subunit ribosomal RNA
Source: Rfam by way of RNAcentral
UGUCUACGAGAUUUCUUUUAUGCACAAAAAAAAAAAAGAGAAAAAAAUUGAGGGAUAAGUUUUAUCUUCAAAAGGGAAACAUCCCAAAUCACCAACUAAGGCCCCCUACAUGAUUGCUAAGUGAUAAAAGAGGUAGGAUGUAGAUAUUGACAAGAGGUUUGCCUAGAAGUAGUCACCCUUCAAAGAGUGCGUAAUAGUUCAUCGAUUGAGGACGAAGAUGAACGGGCUAAGCAAUUUCCCAAAGUUGUGGGAUGUAAAAAUGAAAUGGUAGGGGAUCGUUCUGCCUUAGAACGAAGGACCGACGCGGGCAAGUUUGGAUGAAGUGGAAGCU